This is a long non-coding RNA of Mus musculus (house mouse), 6321 nucleotides long. RefSeq annotates it as predicted gene, 54131. Lineage: Eukaryota; Metazoa; Chordata; Mammalia; Rodentia; Muridae. The transcript is spliced from 3 exons. The record is from RefSeq and is a predicted model, not a curated record.
UUUCUUCUUCUUUUUUUUUUUUUAGUAUUUUACAAUGCACACCGUUUGCCACUCCCUUUAAAAAUAUGUCAUUUUUAAUUUUAUGUGGGUAUGUGUGUGUGCAUGCGUGUGAACAUGUGAAUAAGUGCAUGUGCGUGCGUGUGUGUGUGUGUGUGUGUGUGUGUGUGUGUCGUAUGUGUGUGUUCCCUUUAGAACUCAGAAGAGAGUGCUGGAUCCCUGGAUCUGGAGUCACGGAGCUGCCUCACAUGGGUGCUGGGACCCUGACUUGGGUCCUCUGGAAGAGCAGCAAGUGCUUAUAACUGCGGAUCCAACUCCCAGUCUAAAAAGGUUAUUUUUUUUUUAAAUAAAGAAAAUGCUCAGAUUAAACAAAUGGUAACUCUCCUCCCCUCCCCUCUACCCUUCCCUUUCCCUCUCUUCUUCUCCCCCCCUUCCUUGAUCUAAUAGGACACAUCAAUAUGCAGAAAAACUCGAGCCAGAUCUGCCUACUUCAACUGUCUUAUUCAGCACUGUAUGCCCAGCCACACAGUCCACACGGUACCUAGUCAUAUGACAAGAGACUGGAAAGAUGGCCACUGGCUGAUGCUGGGCUGUAGCCACACCACAUGUUGCCAGAGGAGACCAGGAGACAGAGGGCACCUGGAAGAAGAUGACAGUCACUAGGGGGAGAAGCUGCUAAGGAGGCAUGGAUUGUUCUGCCACGCUGUCCAUGGUUUCCUGCAGUGUAGUGGGCAGCGAUUUUGCCAGCCAGGAUUUGUGGUAUCUUUUUCAAGGGAUCAUCCUCCUGACUAAUGGGGUGCUUCCACCCCCCCAAGUAUUCAGAGAGGGGGUGAUGUCAGGAGAGUGGCCUUUUAAUCUUAGCUUCAUUUCCUUCGGCUGCUGACUCAGUCACUGGUGGUGGUACCCUGCUCCACGGUAGUGGGGCAAUGUUCUGAACUAGCUCAAGACACGAGGCAGUGCCCGUAGCCUUAGCCUCAGGAAGUCUCACUCUGAGUAAGUAGUUACCUGUUGGCUGCAGCCUUACGUCUUUUAAGGGAGCUUUCUAGGCUCCUGUGCAGUCACUUCUGCAGGAGAAAUUGUGUGUGUGUGUGUGUGUGUGUGUGUGUGUGUGUGCCCGCACACGCGCGCGCACUCUCACGCAUGUCUGUGCAUCCAUGUUUAAGUGCAUGCACAUAUGUGCAUGAGUGUGUACAUAUGUGCAUGCAUGCAUGCAUGUGCAUGAGUGUGUGCAUGUCUGUGCAUUCAUGUCUAUAUGUGCACACAUACGUGCAUGAGUGUAUUUGUGUGCAUGCAUGUGCACGAGUGUAUGCUUAUAUAUGCCUAUAUAUGUUGUGUGUACGUAUGGGUGCAUGAAUCUGGGUGAAUGGUUUUCCAUGAGCAGUCUACUCACAUACAAUGAUGGCUCUUAUAUCUCGUUGUUCUUGUUUGAAUGUGAAAUGCUCCCAUGGGCUUGCGUGUUUGAACACUUGGUGGUGCCAUGUUGGGAGGUGGUGGAACCUUUAAGAGGCGGGGCUUAAUUGGGGGCAGUGGGUCACUGUUCCUGGCCUUUAAGGGUGAUAGCUCACCAGGCUUCCCAGUCAAAAACUCUGCUUCCUGUUUUCCACUUUCCCGCAACAGACUCUGGCUCUUGCCUUCCCAUCUCCCUGCCACGGUGGACUCUGCUCUCUGAAACCAGGCACCAUAAAUAAAGUCCCUUCAGCUGCGGGGACUACGCAGUGAGGAGCUAUGUGAGGAGUAGCUGGAGUGAGCAGCAGAGGCCCAGUUUGGAGAAAAACAAACCCUUUGGCAGCUCCAUGCUUCCUUUAGCCACAUGUUUGGGGGUGGGCCAGGCCAUAUGACCUUGACUGGAGGUCUGCCCUCCCUCCCAAUCGAGGGUCCUGGACACAUCAGGGGCAUUUUCAAGCUCCACGCCAGUGUUCUUCCAAUCAAUAAGCCUUCUGAGGGAAGCCUGGGUGCUCAGGAAGCAUGCCUUUCCCACAAUGCCCUUCGAACGUUUCCACAUGAUCACGGAGUGGAUAUGGGGGUAGAGAUGCCCUGGGUUUGAUGGCCCUUGGUCUCCCAGCCAUGGGAAGGGUCAGUUUCUGCAGCUUCUAGGAAUCUAGGACACACUGUUCCUAUGAUAACAUUGAAAAAUGAGUUGGAAAACCUUGGCUUGUGUGACUCUCGCUCACCAUGCCAAGUUCAAGGAGAGGCGGAGACAUCGGCUCCCUUGUCCCGACUGAAAGCUUUUCGGGUUCUGUCUUGGUUCAGUCUUCGUUUAAGAGGCAUAAGGUAGCUUCGUUAAGUGUCAGUAAACAAUAGCUUAUGUCUAAAUUUGGGGCAUCAUACUGAAGACACAGGCUCUGUCCCCCUUGAGAUGGGGGAAGGCAGAGAAUUACAAAAGAAAAUUAAGAAGCGUUCGUAUCUAAGCCAUCUGGGAACAUAGAUUGGCAGAAAAUGUCCCAGGCCUGAAUUGCACGUUACUCUGAGCACAUCUGUCAAUGGGAAAAAAGGGUCCCAGAUUGCCAAGCAGCAGGAACGCUGGCUCAGUGAGGACCGCUUAGAUACAUUACCAGCAAACUCCCAAUUAACCGAUUAAUCAAUGCCAUUGAUUUAAUCCCAUUCAGUAUUUAAUUACAUGCAAGCCUUCAAUCAAUACCUGUUUAGACCUGGAACUCCUUGGGAGUGAAUCUUGCCUGCCCCUCCCACUGGCUACUGAGAGGUCUCAGCACAGCUCCAAGGACCCUGGCCACAGCUGCUACAUGAAAUCAACAAAUGAGCAGAUGCAAUUGAGCUAAGCAGUCUAACGUCUGAGCCAUAUCCCUGGCAUCAUCGUCAUCAUCACCAUCACCAUCACCAUCAGCCCAUCACCCACCUGCCAAUUGUCUCACAGAAGUCAAAAUGCUGCCCUAAGAGACCUGAGCAUCAUGUAGAAGAGAAUUGAACACCAUGCUUAAAGCCUUGCCCAAAAGUGAUCAGAGGACCAGUUUCACAUCUGGGAGCUCCUGGGAGCUGUGGAAUCUCAGGGUACAGCAGGCUUGCUGCUGCGCAAGUCCUUUUGUCUUAAUGACAUCUCCAGGUGAUUCAAUUGCAUGCUAAAAUCUGGGCUGUCCUUGUCUGAAACACUGGCUACCAGGCGACACUAAACCCUGCCAUUCACUUAAACCACAACAGUGUUAAGCUACGCUGGCCCCCAGAGUUGCCUGGGCUAACAAAAACCCCUGUUCUCCACACUGGGCUGGGGCAACCCGGGUCCCUCUGCGAGGCAGGGCACACAGGCCCCGGGAGCAUAAGUGGAGAAAUGUGCUCCUAGGUAAAACAGUGUUGGGGAUAGCAAUGUUAAGCUGUGGGUACUCUGUUAGCCUUGACUUACGCCUGAGAGACGCUUAGUGAGUUUGCACGGGUCAUGGCCACCUACUACAGUAAUCAAAGCUGAACGGAAGACGCUGGGCCUGAGAGGAAGCGCUCUGCCAAGUUCUGCGUGGGCUUUUCACUAUUAUAAUGAUGUUCCCUAGCAACCCCCAAUUAAGAAGUCCCCAGAAACCUUCCCACCAGACCCUGCACUGGGGACUGGGGGAAAUGAGUCCAGUCAACUCCUUCCCAGAGGGAUCUGUGGCUGUUCCUUUGACACCAGCUGCUUAGUGGCAUCCGGUGGCUUUUUAAGUGAAGGCAAGGAGCUACUGCAGUCUGGGGGGGGGUCGUUGAAGCCUUUUGGGGAGCAAUUGAUGAUUAGAGGGGGGAAGGUGAAUGAAGGAAAGAGAGAGGAAAGAGAGACCAGAGACCCAAAUAGAAAAGCUCAUAGAUGCCACAUGAGUUAAUAAACAGAUGGCCCACCUGUUACCAGAAGCCAGCGAAUCAAAGAUCAGCAGGAGGCUGGCUCUCUGUCUAGCAAAUGUUGACUCUCUAGAGCAAAGGCUGUGUGAAGCUUUCUCUGUCUCUCUCUGUCUGUCUCUGUCUUUGUCUGUCUGUCCCUGUCUGUCUGUCUGUCUCUCUUCUCUCUCUUUCUGUCUCUGUGUCUCUCGGUAUCUCUCUCUGCCUCUGCCUCUGUCUCUGCUUCCUAGAUGCAGAUGAGACGAAGUGGAAGCCCUCAGCCUCCUUGCGUCUGCUACCACACCUUCCCAGCCGUGAUGGACUCAGUCCCGGGAUCAUAACCAAGUGAGCUCUUCUUCCUCAGUUUCCGCUGGUCACAGUGUUCUGUCACUGUCGUGGAGAGCACUUAACACAGCACCAGGUGCCUGAACUGACCUUAAGAGACAGUAAACCCAAGGAUCUGUCAUGUGACUCAAGGAUCUGUCAUGUGACCCAAGGAUCUGUCAUGUGACUCAAGUUUCAUCAGGACUCAUCGUGAGUGGUGAGUGAAAACGAUCCGCCAUGAGAGUCUGGAACCCUUAUUAUAUGUUAUACUAGAUACAUUAUAAUAUAUAGUUAUAUUAUAUAUUACAUAAAAAGGAGGGAGUUGGGGACCCCAGACUUAUGAGCAGUUGGCAGCAGAGGUUGGAGCUCAAAAGUUCUUCCCUGGGCUUCAGUGCCGCACUGGCACUGGCCUGUCAUAUAUACCUACACGCCUGGUCUGCCUGUUUAUGCAUUAUUGUUUUACAGUCCUCACAAGCGCUCUAGAAGUGUCCAUUGCUUCGUAGAACCGAGCAAUCCUCUAUCGUGGAUGCCUGCAAGGCUUUACUGACUGUCUUGAAAGCCAUUCACGGCUGCCUCUGCCUAGGCUGUGAUGGGGAAGGCAGAGACUACGGCAGCAAAGCUUUGUAGCCUCCAGUUAUACUUCCUUGUUCUGAGACCCAGGCAGCCCCUGAGACGGGAGCUGUCAUUAUGCUAUCAUCCAGAAGAGAGAACUGAGUCUUACCACAGAAACGCGCAUCUGAGAUCUCAGACCCUAAGGAGAGUUGGACUCCCAGGUCUGACUCCCACCCUGCUGACAAAGGGUCCUCUCUGGUCCCUCCUGUGAGACCUGCAGUGUUCCUCAGCCAAACCCUGGCCAGUGGCAUGGAAGGGCAUGGAGAGACUACAUCAGCCUUCCAGGGCAUAGAUCCUGGUUCAUUUAGCCCCUUUCUAGUGACAUGAACCCUUAGCAAGUUCUGGGAAUCCUGCGUGCCUCAGUUUCCCCUCUGAAACGGAAAUGACUAUACUCAUAGGAUUGCAGUGUGGACGUAGCAACAUCGUGUUGCUCAGAGGAUGUGUGUGGGAAUUUUACAAAUGAAUCAAGCUAAGAGUCCCGAGUGAAGACAUGAGCAAUGCCCACUGAGCAUUCUGGGAACUCAUUCCUUCUCCACUCGCUGUUCUCCACCCGCCCACAGAGCAGCCUGUGUGUUGUGAGCACUAGGCUUCCCCUCCUCUUGGGAGACAGUGAUCGUGGAAGGUGGAGGACUUGAGCCUAGAGAAAGGAGAACCACAGACAAGUCUGCCUGGCAUGAGAUCUGGGCCAACCCCCACCCUGCUGUUUUUACAAGGUAUCCUCAGCCUUGCAAAGGCUGAGUUUAGCCACUGGCCCUCCCUGUUCAUGGCCGUUAUUACAAGAGCAGAACGUUUUGUUUUGCAACCCACUCAAAUCAGUGUUCUCAUCUAGGGCACACCAGUCAGGCGAAAUAUUUUCUGAUGGUCGAAACUUGGGUCGUGGGCACUCUUGGUGUCCAGAAGAUGAAGGCCAGAGAUCACUCAGCAUCCUACAGUGCACAGGGCACCCUUCCCUGCCCUUGCAGGGAUGUACCUGGCUCAGUAUUGCCAGGACUGAAAGAGAGAAGAGAGGGAGGGCUGGAGAGAUGUGGGAGAGCUCUGCGUCCGGUCCUAGCCGGGAGGAAGCUGAGGCAGUCUGCAUCCUGGCAGGAGCCAGGAAAACUCUUAGAAAAGCUUUACAGCUGAUGCAGGCUGAGGCCAUCUGAUUUGGCUUCUUCCUUGGCUUAUCUGUGAGAACAAGGAUUCCGCUUGCAGUAUAAAUGUAUGUUAGCGUGAAAUUGGAAGCCAUAGAAAUCCAGAAAGGCGAAGGGGCAGUGAGACAAAGACCUAGUCUCCAGGGCCAAAAAGGUCUCCUGUCAGUACUCGAUACUGCUACCAUCGGGGUAGCAUUGCUCAAGUCAGUUUCACUCUGCCAAUCUCAGAGCUCUCUGUUGCAUCUUUCAGCCAUUACAGCAUUCUGGCCCUCCAUUGUGGAGAGAAGAUUAGGAAAAUAAUGGUAUGGAAAUAUGAAAAAGUGGUAUGUAAGUAUAUGCACCACAUGUACAUAAGGAACAUAAAUGGUGCUUUGCAAUAGAUAAGUAGCUAGGUACACAAGUGUUUCAAUAAGCAUACAACUCAAUACACUUAUAAUACGGAGUACACACAUAAGCACACAUGUGGGGG